GAAAGGAGAACAUCGUCUACACGUUUGGAUAAAUUCAUCUUUCUGCCCUUCACUUCAUAUCCACGUCAAAGUCCAACACCAGCAGCUUUGUUUCCUCAGUCCCGUUCCGGCUCCCAACGGCGCACACCAGCUUUGUGUUGGAAGCUCUGAUCCGCCACACGACGCCUCCGCUUCCCCCGCUCUCCAAUGUCACAGCGCUCUGAUGUUUGUUGGGACCUAGAAGAGCAAACCAGAACAUUUUUGUUUCUAAUGGGAAAGCAGUGACAGACAGCGCUGCACGUAAUUGAUCUUGUUUUGUUCCAUACGCACAGCAGGCAAAGUGCAAACUUGGAAAUUCACAAACAUGAACUUAGCUGUGCAGAAUGAGAUUUUGACUGUAGAAUCAGCAUUUCCAGACACGAGUAUAUUGUCCUUAAGUUCCAUUCCACUCGUCAAAGACUGGUGGCCUGUGAGUGUGUGAAUGCAGUUUCCUGUCUCCACAUCCCAAACUCGGAUGGAGGUGUCAAGAGAUCCGCUCACCACAUGGAUACCAUCAAACUGCAAGAAAGCCAUGAGUGUAGGCUAACACCAGUGACAACUGACUACAAGCUUCCACGAGAAUGGAGAAAAAACACACAUACAGCAAAGUUGUUUUAAGGCCAUCAUAGAGACAGCUGAUGCUAUUUUGAGAAGCCAUGGAAGACAGACAAGACUUCAGGUGGCAGUGCCUGGAAUUGAUGCUUUCACUCCACGAAUGAACAAGAUGAUCUUUUGGAAUAGUAAAGUGUGUGCAGACAGGUCUCAGUCUCUGGAUCCCACACUUUGACCAUAAAGUCAUAUGCACCACUUACAACCCUUCUGCCAUCAUACUGAACGCAUCGAACUGCAGCUACGUGGCCCAUCAGAACAUGUAAACACUGGCCCGUCUCUAUGUCCCAAACUCUCAGUGUAGCAUCUCGAGAACCACUGACCACUCUGGAGGAACAAGAAAACCCCUCCUAUAUUUAGCUUUGGAAAUAAAAGCAUUAAAACAAUAUAAAUCAGUUUGAAGUUUUCAUCUGGGAUGACCAGACAGCAUUUGUCCACUAGGCACCGAAGAUCUGGUUUGGUAUGACAUUUUAUUAGGGAUGCAAAUGACUCAAGUGCGUUUCUUCCUCGCCGUUCUCGUCUCUCCAGGAUCUAUUUGAUAUAAUUAGCAAUCUCUAUUUAAAAAGCACUCGAGUCCCGAACAGCAAAAUGAUGCCAUGAGAAACUACGUGGACUACUGUAUCCACCCAUAAAGCUUAUGAAUAUGCCGAGUUCAAAUUAGCACUUUGAGCAUCCUGCUUAAAUGACUGAAUUAACUAAUUAUAACAAUUAAAGAAGAUCUUUAGAAG
Lagopus leucura (white-tailed ptarmigan) is the source of this 1355-nucleotide long non-coding RNA. RefSeq lists it as uncharacterized. The transcript has 7 exons. The record is from RefSeq and is a predicted model, not a curated record. Lineage: Eukaryota; Metazoa; Chordata; Aves; Galliformes; Phasianidae.